GAUCACCUUGGGGUUGUGUUACUGUUUAAUGAGCACGCAAUGAAAACAGUACUGCUAACAACACCGCAACUCAUAUACAGUGGUGCCUCGCUUGACGACGUUAAUUUGUUCUAGAGAAAUCACUGUACAG
This 130-nucleotide non-coding RNA is filed under the name Pogona vitticeps (central bearded dragon). The record is from RNAcentral. Lineage: Eukaryota; Metazoa; Chordata; Lepidosauria; Squamata; Agamidae.